AUGAACGCUGGCGGCGUGCCUAAUACAUGCAAGUCGAGCGAACAGAUAAGGAGCUUGCUCCUUUGACGUUAGCGGCGGACGGGUGAGUAACACGUGGGUAACCUACCUAUAAGACUGGGAUAACUUCGGGAAACCGGAGCUAAUACCGGAUAACAUUUGGAACCGCAUGGUUCUAAAGUGAAAGAUGGUUUUGCUAUCACUUAUAGAUGGACCCGCGCCGUAUUAGCUAGUUGGCAAGGUAACGGCUUACCAAGGCGACGAUACGUAGCCGACCUGAGAGGGUGAUCGGCCACACUGGAACUGAGACACGGUCCAGACUCCUACGGGAGGCAGCAGUAGGGAAUCUUCCGCAAUGGGCGAAAGCCUGACGGAGCAACGCCGCGUGAGUGAUGAAGGGUUUCGGCUCGUAAAACUCUGUUAUUAGGGAAGAACAAAUGUGUAAGUAACUGUGCACGUCUUGACGGUACCUAAUCAGAAAGCCACGGCUAACUACGUG
Molecule: ribosomal RNA, 496 nt
Filed under: uncultured bacterium
Lineage: Bacteria
Description: partial 16S ribosomal RNA
Rfam family: Bacterial small subunit ribosomal RNA
Source: RNAcentral